This 467-nucleotide ribosomal RNA is filed under the name uncultured bacterium. RNAcentral's name for it is "bacterial SSU rRNA". It matches the Rfam family "Bacterial small subunit ribosomal RNA", at positions 328 to 793 of the family's 1533-position model. The record is from RNAcentral.
UUACCAGACUCCUACGGGAGGCAGCAGUGAGGAAUAUUGGUCAAUGGCCGAGAGGCUGAACCAGCCAAGUCGCGUGAGGGAAGAAUGUCCUAUGGAUUGUAAACCUCUUUUGCCGGGGAGCAAAAGACGCCACGCGUGGCGUUCCGAGAGUACCCGAAGAAAAAGCAUCGGCUAACUCCGUGCCAGCAGCCGCGGUAAUACGGAGGAUGCGAACGUUAUCCGGAUUUAUUGGGUUUAAAGGGUGCGCAGGCGGAAGAUAAGGUCAGGGGUAAAAUUGGGGGGCUCAACCUCUUCGAGCCGUUGAAACUGGUUUUCUUGAGUGAGUGAGAAGUAUGCGGAAUGCGUGGUGUAGCGGUGAAAUGCAUAGAUAUCACGCAGAACUCCGAUUGCGAAGGCAGCAUACCGGCGCUCAACUGACGCUCAUGCACGAAAGUGUGGGUAUCGAACAGGAUUAGAUACCCGCGUAC